Molecule: ribosomal RNA, 161 nt
Filed under: uncultured bacterium
Lineage: Bacteria
Description: partial 16S rRNA
Rfam family: Bacterial small subunit ribosomal RNA
Source: RNAcentral
GGAAUCUUCCACAAUGGACGCAAGUCUGAUGGAGCAACGCCGCGUGAGUGAAGAAGAUCUUCGGAUCGUAAAACUCUGUUGUUAGAGAAGAACGUGUGUGAGAGUAACUGUUCAUUCGAUGACGGUAUCUAACCAGCAAGUCACGGCUAACUACGUGCCAG